GCAGCUCGCACUGGAGUGCUUUAAAGCCUGCCUUGCGUCUGUCUCUCUCUCCAGAAAGCCUUUCAUGCCGCCGUGCCAGACUGACAUUUUGACAAGUUGCCACGAGUGACAUCUGAUUUGUACAAAUUUCAAGACUAAUAAAUCUACCUGUCAAAGCGGAAACUUUAAAAGGAGCUAAGCCCAGCGGGUAUAGUUUAACAGAACUCAAGUUGAUGAAACUGUAGGAUGGAGAAAUUAUAUCUGUCACAAUCCACCCACAUUAGUUCUGCAGAAAUGUUGGCAACUGAAACAAACGUCUUUCACGGGUGUUACCGAAAAAAAAAUUAAAAAUAAAAAAAAAUUUUUUUUAAUCCAAAAAGGAGAUUGUUAAUACCCCGAGUAACAAGUAACAGUUCUAUUUGUAAACUAACAAAUUUUAUUUAUUUAAUUUUUAAUUUCAUUGCAGAUGUUAGAAGUGACUCUCCUCCUACCUCCUUAGCUGUCUCGCUGGAAUCCGGACUUUCCAUUCAAGCUGCGGCCCAUCAAUCAUUCUGCGGCUCCUGGCUUGCUCACUCUUAGAGUGAGUCCUAGGCGGUGGUGGCCUCGGCUUGCAGGGUGAGGCAGACUUGCUCCCCCACAGUAUUGCAUCCGGGGGACCCUGAGAGCACCCCAUUCCCCAGGGGCAGAGGCAAAAGGCACUGAAUUAUGUCGCAGCAGCCCCACCUCCCAAUUUUGAGCUGGAGACCCUAGACUGGCCCCCAUUCUGCAUGCUGCUGUGUGAUUUUUGUUUUGAGGUUGUGGACAUUUAUGGAGAAGUUGUGGGUGGAGACAACUAAAGAGAGAGGUACUUAUGAUCCUGGCUGACUUUUUAUUUUUUAUCCUAACUCCCCUUCCUAUCUCCGAUGAGUCCGCUUUUGUCCUGCAUCAUCAUGUCAGAGAUGUUGAAGAAGUCAGAAUUCACAGACCAGAAGAAGAAACUAGGUGAAGGACAAGUGGGCCUCUUCAGGAUUCCCUUAGACUUAGAAAAUCAGUAAAAAGCCUGCAACAAAGCCCCUUGCUGAAUUAGUAUCCCUCCCUACGCCCCCCCCCCCACAACACACACCCCGUCCCCACCCUCAAGGUCAGAGAGGAGGAGAAA
Molecule: long non-coding RNA, 1117 nt
Filed under: Marmota monax (woodchuck)
Lineage: Eukaryota; Metazoa; Chordata; Mammalia; Rodentia; Sciuridae
Source: RNAcentral